This 206-nucleotide ribosomal RNA is filed under the name uncultured bacterium. Its description in RNAcentral is "partial 16S ribosomal RNA". It matches the Rfam family "Bacterial small subunit ribosomal RNA", at positions 568 to 774 of the family's 1533-position model. The record is from RNAcentral.
CACGUAGGCGGCUUCUUAAGUCAGGGGUGAAAUCCUGGAGCUCAACUCCAGAACUGCCUUUGAUACUGAGAAGCUUGAGUCCGGGAGAGGUGAGUGGAACUGCGAGUGUAGAGGUGAAAUUCGUAGAUAUUCGCAAGAACACCAGUGGCGAAGGCGGCUCACUGGCCCGGUACUGACGCUGAGGUGCGAAAGCGUGGGAGCAAACA